GACGAACGCUGGCGGCGUGCUUAACACAUGCAAGUCGAACGAAAAGAGGGAAAGAGCUUGCUCUUUCCGGAAUUGAGUGGCAAACGGGUGAGUAACACGUAAACAACCUGCCUUCAGGAUGGGGACAACAGACGGAAACGACUGCUAAUACCGUAUAAGUUCCAAGAGCCGCAUGGCCCAUGGAAGAAAAGGUGGCCUCUACCUGUAAGCUAUCGCCUGAAGAGGGGUUUGCGUCUGAUUAGCUGGUUGGAGGGGUAACGGCCCACCAAGGCGACGAUCAGUAGCCGGUCUGAGAGGAUGAACGGCCACACUGGAACUGAGACACGGUCCAGACUCCUACGGGAGGCAGCAGUGGGGAAUCUUCCGCAAUGGGCGAAAGCCUGACGGAGCAACGCCGCGUGAGUGAUGACGGCCUUCGGGUUGUAAAACUCUGUGAUCCGGGACGAAAAGGCAGAGUGCGAAGAACAAACUGCAUUGACGGUACCGGAAAAGCAAGCCACGGCUAACUACGUG
Molecule: ribosomal RNA, 513 nt
Filed under: uncultured bacterium
Lineage: Bacteria
Description: partial 16S ribosomal RNA
Rfam family: Bacterial small subunit ribosomal RNA
Source: RNAcentral